GUGGGGAAUCUUAGACAAUGGGGGAAACCCUGAUCUAGCCAUGCCGCGUGAGCGAUGAAGGCCUUAGGGUUGUAAAGCUCUUUCAGAUGGGAAGAUAAUGACGGUACCAUCAGAAGAAGCCCCGGCUAACUCCGUGCCAGCAGCCGCGGUAAUACGGAGGGGGCUAGCGUUGUUCGGAAUUACUGGGCGUAAAGCGCACGUAGGCGGACCAGAAAGUCAGAGGUGAAAUCCCAGGGCUCAACCUUGGAACUGCCUUUGAAACUCCUGGUCUUGAGGUCGAGAGAGGUGAGUGGAAUUCCGAGUGUAGAGGUGAAAUUCGUAGAUAUUCGGAGGAACACCAGUGGCGAAGGCGGCUCACUGGCUCGAUACUGACGCUGAGGUGCGAAAGCGUGGGGAGCAAACAGGAUUAGAUACCCCUGUAGUCC
Molecule: ribosomal RNA, 425 nt
Filed under: uncultured bacterium
Lineage: Bacteria
Description: bacterial SSU rRNA
Rfam family: Bacterial small subunit ribosomal RNA
Source: RNAcentral